GAUCAGAAUUCAUUGCUAGAAUUUCUUUGCCAGCCUAGUUACUGCCACGCUGAAAAAUAGAACCAGUAAUGGAGCACAUAAAUUCCAAAUAUGACUGAUUCAACUAGACUAUCUCACCACCAGACCAUGAAUGCCACUGGUAUGGAGCAAAAACGUUUCAAUAUGGAUUCAUUGAGGUUUUGAAAUAGGAAAUUACAAAAGAUACUGUCAUCCCAAAGGCCACAAAGAACAAAAUAAAGUUGUUAAAAUCUAAACCAUAAUGUUGAUGAUUUUCACUCUUCCAUUGC
RNAcentral lists this unclassified non-coding RNA (287 nucleotides) under Hevea brasiliensis (rubber tree). The record is from RNAcentral. Lineage: Eukaryota; Viridiplantae; Streptophyta; Magnoliopsida; Malpighiales; Euphorbiaceae.